GAUGAACGCUGGCGGCGUGCCUAAUACAUGCAAGUCGAGCGAACAGAUGAGGAGCUUGCUCCUCUGACGUUAGCGGCGGACGGGUGAGUAACACGUGGAUAACCUACCUAUAAGACUGGGAUAACUUCGGGAAACCGGAGCUAAUACCGGAUAAUAUAUUGAACCGCAUGGUUCAAUAGUGAAAGACGGUUUUGCUGUCACUUAUAGAUGGAUCCGCGCCGCAUUAGCUAGUUGGUAAGGUAACGGCUUACCAAGGCGACGAUGCGUAGCCGACCUGAGAGGGUGAUCGGCCACACUGGAACUGAGACACGGUCCAGACUCCUAAGGGAGGCAGCAGUAGGGAAUAUUCCGCAAUGGGCGAAAGCCUGACGGAGCAACGCCGCGUGAGUGAUGAAGGUCUUCGGAUCGUAAAACUCUGUUAUUAGGGAAGAACAAAUGUGUAAGUAACUAUGCACGUAUUGACGGUACCUAAUCAGAAAGCCACGGCUAACUACGUG
RNAcentral lists this ribosomal RNA (497 nucleotides) under uncultured bacterium. RNAcentral describes it as "partial 16S ribosomal RNA". It matches the Rfam family "Bacterial small subunit ribosomal RNA", at positions 28 to 507 of the family's 1533-position model. The record is from RNAcentral.